CUCCCCUCCCCGCGGCUCCUCGGCUUCUGCUGCGGGGAGACAGGCCCUGCCUGGGCCGGGAAGAGCAAAUUUGGGUGGCUAAAAAAAAAGCUGGCCCUGUCAGUGUGAAAACGAACAGGCAGUUCCUUCUGACUCCGUGGAAGGUUACCUUGUUCCUGAUGAGGUUAGUCAUGAAAGAAAUAUCAAACAGGAUCACAAGGGAUCCUGCAGCCAGCUCUCCUGAUGGUCAGUGCCUUUCACCAGGUGCUUUCGAGAACAAGAAACUCUUCAGUGAGAUGUCUCGAAGUUGCUUCCCUGCUUAAAGAACCUAAAAAGCCAACGUUUCUACUUGACCUAUGGAAUUGAAUUGGUACAAACAGAAACAAAGCUGAGAG
RNAcentral lists this long non-coding RNA (374 nucleotides) under Struthio camelus australis. Its description in RNAcentral is "lncRNA (ENSSCUG00000006265.1)". The record is from RNAcentral. Lineage: Eukaryota; Metazoa; Chordata; Aves; Struthioniformes; Struthionidae.